This is a long non-coding RNA of Homo sapiens (human), 1841 nucleotides long. RefSeq annotates it as NIFK antisense RNA 1. Lineage: Eukaryota; Metazoa; Chordata; Mammalia; Primates; Hominidae. The transcript has 4 exons. The record is from RefSeq and is marked validated.
GUGUUAGGCUUCGCUGGCGUAAAGUCCCCGGGAGCUUUGCCCCUCACGGAGAACGUUAGUUGACCCUGAUGGGGACCCGUAGGGUAAAGGUUUUGUUUUUGUUUUUUUUUACGGAAAAGGUUGUGGUUAGGCCCCUUGGAAAGUUGCGACAAAACUCGAGUUAGACAAGGAAGGUCGGAACUAAGUGGCCACAGCAACAAUGCACCAGCAAGCAGGGAGCGUGAUAGGAAGAGCUAAAGAGGAAUCGGGAAACCCUGGGUAAAAGUCGUCCAAGUGGAACUUCCUUUGGUCGGGGGUCUGAUACUCGAAGGAAACGGUCUUUCACUUCUGGGUUAGGGCGUCCGCCCAGAGGGCGACUGCAAUGAAGGAAAUUGUGCCCUGCGACUUCCCGUAACAGAGCUGUGUGUCCACGCUCCCUUUUCCGAGCAGGCGCGGACGCUUGUGCCGGAAGUAAACUUGUUAACGGUUCUUUGCCUUUUGGGGAGGGGAGACAGCCCAGAGAAGGCUUUGGAGACCCUUGAGUCGGCCAGCGAGCAGGGUUUCUUACUUGAGCGCCUCCACAAAUAAACGCUCCUUCGCUCCUCCGUCGCGUGCGUUUCCCUGGGAUAAUAAGUGGGAAAGUGGUGGCUUUUAUUUUUUUGAGACAGGGUCUCACCGCCGUCGCCCAGGCCGGAUGGAGUGCAGUGGCGCGAUCACGGCUCACUGCAGCCUCGACUUCCCAGGCUCAGAGAUGGGUUUCACCAUGUUUCCCAGCCUUGUCUCAAACUCCUGACCUCAAGUGAUCCGCCGUCUUGGGUCUUCGAAAGUGCUGGGACAGCAGGAGUGAGCCACCGCAUCUGGCCCGGAAAGUGUUUUGGAGCGUAGAAAAAUGCAAAUUAUAGGGCUGCCUUCAAGGAUCCCGAAGGACCCACAGAUUUGCCGCAUCAGGCUCCUAUGCACGCCGAAAUGCCCAGGAGGAUUGACGAGAUUGAGGUCAAGAUCGUGGCCCAGUGUGUGGCGCUCCAAGCCAGCUCUUCCCCUUUCAAAACCAGAAAAGCCGCAUGUUUAGAUCGCUCUAGGAGAUUCAUCUCCAUUACGAUACAGGAUAUGGGCUGUUUGAAAACUAUUUCAUCAUCUUUAUCAUCAUCAUUCAGUUCAGCCACUUGAGAUUUUCGCCUCUCCAAAAAUGUUGGUGUACAAACUGGUGUGGGGCCCUGGAUUCAACAAGUAAAGAUUAUAAUACAUAAAUGUAAAACAUGAUUAUGACUUUACCCAAAAAUAUCAUCUCUCCUCUAUUUUUACAAGUUGUGCCCCAUUAUUUUAGCUCUGUUACCAUCUUUUGGUGAUACUAUUGCAAAGAAUAAAGAACUUAGAUGCUUAUCAAACUUGGUACAGAAAUUCACAAUUAACAAAUAUAGCAUGUUCCAUUAUAAGGUUUUAGGCAGAAAAUUGCUAAAUCAACAAUAAAGAUCUACCAAAUGUCACAAUAUUUAAUUUGAAAUCUUAAAAUGAGAGUAGCAGAAACUGCUUCUCCUCCUUCAAAUUAUUUCUAUAAUAUCUGGUGUCUGGAGUAUUGAAAACCAUUUUACCUGGCUAUCCACAGUCUUCUCAGGAGUGUCAAGAGUACCUGAAACUUUUUUCUUCUUCUUACGUAAAACCUUAAAAUAAAUUUUAAAACACAUCAAUUUGAAUAUUGAUCAGCUACAGUAGUCUUGAAUAUGUUUUCCUACUUAUCCUUCUCUAAUAUCUUGCAUGUAAAAUGAUAAAAAAAAUUUUACCUGGCCUUUUGUAGACGUCUGACGAUUAGUUUUUGAAAUACUUUCCGUUUUCUGUAAAAUCUUUAAUAAAGAAGUUAGAAAUUG